RNAcentral lists this long non-coding RNA (1243 nucleotides) under Fragaria vesca (wild strawberry). Its description in RNAcentral is "long non-coding RNA (FVES_LNC004736)". The record is from RNAcentral. Lineage: Eukaryota; Viridiplantae; Streptophyta; Magnoliopsida; Rosales; Rosaceae.
CGGAAAGGUAUCACAAUAGUCAAUCAGACUACCAAACGCCAAAUCUGCAGCAUAGUGAAUAAUAAGGGUAAGUCAACUAUCGGCACCGAGACUUUACCGGAAUACUAUGAUUUUUCAACCGUAGACGUAUUUCACCGUUCUGGUCAUAUCUUAUUUCACGACUUUUUUACGUUUGAAGGUUCUACGUAUAGUUUUUUUUUUCUCAGAUGAGUUGUUGUCUAGAUCUGUAAAUAUAAGGCACUUUAGCCGACGAAAUUAUAUUUUUUCGUCGGCUAAACUUUUAAAAAUUUCGUCGGCUAAAGUUUAAAAAUUUCGUCGGCUAAAGUCCACUUUAGCCGACGAAUUUUUUUCGUCGGAUAAACUUUUAAAAAUUUCGUUGGCUAAAGUUCACAGACUAUAGCCGACGAAAAAAAUUAUUCAGCCGAUGAAAUAUUACUUUCGUCGGCUAAAGUUGACCAUAGCCGACGAAAAUUUUAAAUUAGCCGACGAAGAAAAAUUCGUCGGCUAAAGUGGACUUUAGCCGACGAAAAAAAAAUUUCGUCGGCCUGGUUUUUUUAUUUUCGUCGGCUAAAGCCUUUCUUCUGGUAGUGCAAGUGUUAUGUAAAUGUUCCGUUUCAAAAACAAACUAUACGUAAAACCUUCAAACGCCAAAAAGUCAUGAAAUAAGAUAUUACGAGAAUGUUGAAAUACAUCCACGGUUGAAAAAUCACACUAUUCCGGUAAAUAUUCGGUGCCGAUAGUUGCGGUCAAUGCAAUUUUUCAUUCUUUCCCCCUAUGAGUAGCCCUAUAUUCGGUGGUUAUUUUGCGUAAAAUUUUUAUACGACUUGUUGCGUGUCAUCGAUUUAAAACUAUUUUCAGUUGGAGGUUCGGCCAAAAUAUGUAAUUUAGACGGUCGAACGACCUUUUCCGUGCGUUUAGGGGUUUGACUUACGAGAUUGACCGUCCAGAUCGAGCCCUUAUUCUUGUCGGAUCAAGUUGAAUUUUUUCCCAUACAUGUAUUUUAUCAUGAUGGUCAGAUCUGAAGGUCGGAUUUAUUUUUCUCAACUUUGAUCAUCACAAUCACAAUGUGCCAAAUGUAUAAAAAUACUUUUAGCCGACGAAUUUCAAAGGUUAGCCGACGAAUUUCAAAGGUUUAGCCGACGAAUUUAUAAAGUUUAGCCGACGAAUUUAUAAAGUUUAGCCGACGAAUUUCAAAGUUUUAGCCGACGAAUUUAGAAGGUUUAGCCAACGAAUUGAUGUAUAG